AACGAACGCUGGCGGCGCGUCUUAAGCAUGCAAGUCGGGCGGCAAGGGCAGCAAUGCCCCUAGAGCGGCGGACUGGUGAGUAACGCGUGGGUGAUCUACCUUUGGGUUGGGGAUAGCCAUUAGAAAUAGUGGGUAAUACCGAAUACGGUUGCCGGACCAUGGUCUGGCAAAGAAGGAGCUACGGCUCCGCCCGGAGAUGAGCCCGCGUCCCAUUAGCUAGUUGGGGGUGUAACGGACCACCAAGGCGAUGAUGGGUAGCCGGACUGAGAGGUUGAACGGCCACACUGGGACUGAGAUACGGCCCAGACUCCUACGGGAGGCUG
This 323-nucleotide ribosomal RNA is filed under the name uncultured Spirochaetota bacterium. RNAcentral's name for it is "bacterial SSU rRNA". It matches the Rfam family "Bacterial small subunit ribosomal RNA", at positions 29 to 351 of the family's 1533-position model. Lineage: Bacteria; Pseudomonadati; Spirochaetota. The record is from RNAcentral.